AGUGAACGCUGGCGGUAGGCCUAACACAUGCAAGUCGAACGGCAGCACAGUAAGAGCUUGCUCUUACGGGUGGCGAGUGGCGGACGAGUGAGGAGUACAUCGGAAUCUACUUUUUCGUGGGGGAUAACGUAGGGAAACUUACGCUAAUACCGCAUACGACCUACGGGUGAAAGCAGGGGAUCUUCGGACCUUGCGCGAUUGAAUGAGCCGAUGUCGGAUUAGCUAGUUGGCGGGGUAAAGGCCCACCAAGGCGACGAUCCGUAGCUGGUCUGAGAGGAUGAUCAGCCACACUGGAACUGAGACACGGUCCAGACUCCUACGGGAGGCAGCAGUGGGGAAUAUUGGACAAUGGGCGCAAGCCUGAUCCAGCCAUACCGCGUGGGUGAAGAAGGCCUUCGGGUUGUAAAGCCCUUUUGUUGGGAAAGAAAAGCAGCAGGUUAAUACCCCGCUGUUCUGACGGUACCCAAAGAAUAAGCACCGGCUAACUUCGUG
Molecule: ribosomal RNA, 492 nt
Filed under: uncultured bacterium
Lineage: Bacteria
Description: partial 16S ribosomal RNA
Rfam family: Bacterial small subunit ribosomal RNA
Source: RNAcentral